Long non-coding RNA from Alexandromys fortis (reed vole), 2783 nucleotides. RefSeq lists it as uncharacterized. NCBI's taxonomy places the organism in Eukaryota, Metazoa, Chordata, Mammalia, Rodentia, Cricetidae. The record is from RefSeq and is a predicted model, not a curated record. The transcript has 2 exons.
UGGGAGUGUCAUAUAUCAAUCUGUUGAUUUCAUUGGUUAAGUUAUAAUAAACCAACUGCUUGGCCUCAGCUUGGAACAUAGAUGGGAGGAGUAAACAGAAUAGAAUUCUGGGCGGAAGAGGAAGUGAGGUCAGACUCUGCUCUGCUUCCGGGGACAGACCCGACAGCUCUGCUGGAGCAGAGACGCCAUGCUCAGCUCUCCCAGGCAACUCCAACCCACGAUGGACUUAGGCUAGAAUCUUCCCGGUAAGCGCACCUUGGCGUGCUUACAAACAUUAUUAGAAAUGGGCUAGUCCAGGGGCGAGAAUUAGCCUGUAAGGGUUAGAGUUCAUGGGCCAAGCAGUUCUUUAAAUGAAUACAGUUUGUGUGUUGUUAUUUCGGGCGUGAGCUAGCCAAGCGGCUGGGGUGUUGGGGACGCAGCCCCGCCGCCGCUCCUAUUUCAACAGAUGGCGCCCAGACGUGUGGCUAACUGAAUCCACAAAAAGCCUGAGAAAGCUGGGGAAAGAAUGGAAUGAAGCAUGUUUUCUUGGUAGCAACAAAUUUCUUGGGUCUACUCUGCUUGCUAGAGGCAAGCAAGCGCUCUCAUCUAAGAGAGGCUUCCUGACUCAGCUUCAGCUGCAAAACCCUGCAGCUCAUUAAGAGUUCCUGCCAGGAAACACUUAAACGGUGUUGGUGAAAAGCUGAACGCAUGCUUUUUGGUUUUCAGCCGUAGCAGGAAAAAAGUUGUGCUGUUUUAAAAUACCGGCUUUCUGGGCCGUCCUGCCAGGGCAAACUCUGACUGAGGCAGGAGGUCCAGCUACAGAGAGAGGACUUGACUGUUGUCUGUUGUAGCUCGCUUGCUGGCAGGGACCUUGAAACGCCAUAGAAUUGUGCCUAUAAACGCGGCUACAGCCUGUAUCUCCGCCAUGAGGCUGGAAAGCUAAGGAAUGGACUGGAUCUAGCUGGCAAAGCCACGGCUUUAAUCCUACUCAUAUUGCUCAGUAAUUUAAAGGCUCCUGUGGUCAGAAAAACAGAGAGAGAUACAGUAAAGAGAUUCAAAGAUAAAGAAAAUGUUUAAAUGAUUUACAGUGUGUUAAAAAUAUAUGCAAGCUAAAAGUUAAAAGUUCUUAAAAAAAAGUAAGAAAAAGAGAAGUUGUGUGUGGUAGUACACGCCUUUAAUCCCAGUGCCUAGAAGGCAGAGACAAACAGAUCUCUGUGAGUUCAAGGUGUGGUAGCAAACACCUUUAAUCCCAAUGCCUGGGAGGCAGAGACAGGCAGAUCUCUGAGAGUUCAAGGACAGCCUGGUCUACAGAGUUAUUCCAGGACAGAGAUACAGAGAAUAUAAAAUGAAAGUAAAAAUAAACUUAAUAGAGGUUAAAAUAAAGCUCACAAAGAUGGAAAAUACACAGAGAAUCUUGAUACUGUAUGCUAUUAUGCUCUCUUUGAAUUGUUUGAAUGCUGAGGAAGGAGCAACAGAUGCUAAAAGAUAUUUGUUUAUAAAUGCUGCUGAACUAAUCCAACGUAGAGAUUUUAAUGCCUUGGCUUUGAUAUUUGGAUCUAAGGACGUGAUGCUUUCAAAAGGAGUUUCUUAUUUUGUUUUCACAGAGGAUGAGACCCUGUUCAUUUCUUCUAUUCCGAUAUGGUAUGAUGGACCACGCCCUCCUGAACGGUUGCUGUGAAUACCUUCAAAAAAUUGCUUCGCUCAACUUCCAACUGAGAUGAAACUAGCACACAGGUUAUACCACAAAAGACCUAAUUAACAGCGCCCCCAUUCAGCAGGAAGCAGUUUGGAGAGAAAAAACUACGCCCAUGUUCCCAAAUAUUGUUUACAAAUGUUCUUUUACAUUUAAAGGGGGAUAUGAUAUAGAUAUGAAUAAUUUGCAUUGGUAUGGAUUUUAAGGUCAAUUUUGUUAUAUGUAUAUGUAUUUUUGAUCUUGAUUAAGGUAUUGUGAUUGUGUAGUUCAUUUAAAAAUGUAAUGUAUAAUUAGGAAAUAUAGGUUGUUAAUGGAUAAUCAUCGCUAAUAGUUAAGCUUGUAGUCAUGUUAAUUAGAUUUUCUAGAUAUAUAGAGAUAUAUUUCAGUUAGAUAGGCAUUCUUCAUAUCUUUCAAAGACUGCAGAAUAUGGCAUUUAAAAUAUUUUAAUAACUUAGGACUUUUCAUGACAAGGAGACACGUCUGCUCCUGGCAGCACCAGCUACUUCAAGAGGAAGAUGGGCAUCGAAGAGGAUCCUUAUGGAGUUGGAUAGUCAUUUGGGCAAGAAACUGCUCUUGCCUGGACUGUUGCAUAAACUGGACACAGAGAACCCUCAGAGAGAGGACUGCUGAACUUGCCUAAAGGUGAGAUGGUCUUUCGGGGUUCCUGAUUCAUGAAAGAGUCUGCGAGACAUUCUGCAGGACACAGCAGAAAAUGACUGAACUGUCUUUGAAAUUUCCUGCUUCAUGGAAAUGUAUCUGGAUACCAUGGGCCUGUAGGCCGAAGAUGGAUGCCCCAACGGUACCAAAGAACUUUGGGUGACUGUCCAGGCAGCGAGAUGUCUCUGUCAUUUCUAGAGUUUUCUUACUCAAGUAUUAUUAUAUCCUUCUGGAGUCUUUGAUGGAGUUGAAGAAUGAAUAGUUAUAAUUUUCCUUAGUUAUGAUAAGAGAUAAAAUAGAUAUAAAUAUUGUAACUGUAAUUCUUACUUGAUAACUGUUUUGUUAUAUGUAAUUUUACUAUGUUAAAGUUAAAGCCUUUCUUUUUUGUUUAAACAGAAAAAGGGGAAAUGAUGUGGGAAUGGUUUCUUAUUAAUAAAGAAACUGCCUUGGCCCA